GGGGGAUUAGCUCAGUUGGCUAGAGCGCUUGCAUGGCAUGCAAGAGGUCAUCGGUUCGAGCCCGAUAUUCUCCACUA
RNAcentral lists this transfer RNA (77 nucleotides) under Prevotella sp. P5-92. RNAcentral describes it as "tRNA-Ala". It matches the Rfam family "tRNA". From Rfam's summary of the family: Transfer RNA (tRNA) molecules are approximately 80 nucleotides in length. The record is from RNAcentral. Lineage: Bacteria; Pseudomonadati; Bacteroidota; Bacteroidia; Bacteroidales; Prevotellaceae.